Molecule: long non-coding RNA, 4203 nt
Filed under: Salmo salar (Atlantic salmon)
Lineage: Eukaryota; Metazoa; Chordata; Actinopteri; Salmoniformes; Salmonidae
Description: lncRNA (ENSSSAG00000087841.1)
Source: RNAcentral
CUAAAUCAAUGUAAAUAGUGGAGUAGGGUGGUGUUAUUAUGAUGAAAUUGUGAGUGUAGUGUUAAAAAUAGAAUGUAGGGUAUUUGUUUAUUUAUAACUUUUUUAAGCAAAGUAUAAGGGAGGUGGCAGUAGGUGGCGGUAAUGCAACAUUUAUUGGAUGCCGACUGCCGUUAAACCUCAUCGAAGAAGACGGAAAGGAAGAGGAAAAGAGAGGAUCAACUCGGCGGCAAAUCUGUCUCCCCCAGCAGGUCGCGGUUUUUUUUCGUUGUUUCGCCCACCAAGCAAGUCGUUUUGUAUCCAUGACUCUGAGCAUGUCUCCGGCUGCGGUGUGCCAGUGCUUUACGCUGGUGUCACUGUGCACAUCCAUCGCCGACCCAAACUGGAUCCAAGUCAUCAACAACACUGACCCCGGAGGCAAACAGCUCAUCUAUGGUGUGGCUUUCAUACUGCAUGCGCCCCAGAACCUCACUGACACAGGUCCCCUGGGUGGCAUAAAUGGCUGGGGGGUGUGGCUGCUCUAUGCCCUGGCGGCUCUGUGCUACAGUGCUGUCCUGCUCUCCAGCUCCUCCUUCCUAUUGGACUUCCUGGGGACUGGGAUGUCCCACCCUCGACUGGUGGUGUUACUCCACAUCUCCACAGUGGUUCUCCUCCUGUCUGUUCUGGGAGUUUGUGGGGCCUGCCUGUACAUCAUCCACUGCAACCUUCAGGAGGGCAAGUUUGGGCCACUGUGGGAAUGGGUAGGGGGCUGGACCUGGCCUGGGUCUGGCUCCAGGAGCCAGGGAGGGGCGGCGGGGAUGAAGCCUUACCCAGGGGAGAGCUUCUACAUCACCAUGCUGGGCCUGCUCUUCUCCUGCCUGGCCGGUGUGAGCAGCCUGGGGGACCCCACCUCCACCCAGAGGGACUACACAGCUGUGGUGGAGUGGGACGACAGUGACACAGAGCCCCUUACCCCCAGGGAGCAGGGAGUGGGACAGUCUGAUGAAGAGGAGGGGGUAGGAGACGUGUUGCCUGAACUGACUCAGGGGGAGGUGGGUGGAAGUGGAGACUGCUAAAGGGGUUUGAAUGUGUGGCCCAAAAGGCUUAGUUUCGGACUAGAAUGCAAACCACACCACACAUGGCCUGUAACAGACUUAAUUAGACAGCAGUGCUGGCGCCUUCCCUGGUCAUGUUUUGAAUUCCUAAAGCUUCACUGGACCAAGCUGGUGGAAUCCAGUCAGGAGCCAAAAAAGAGACCAGAUACGUUUCCUAAUGUUGUUUUAAUGUUUGUCUGCCUAAAACAUGCCUUCUCGGGGUAUGUACAGUUGCACAACAUCAAGUCAAUAACCCAUUUAUGGGUUUAAAAAAAAAAAUCCCUUGUGGGAGUUUAUGCCCAGCGUCUCACACUUGACUCCACCAAUAUAAAUCGUUCUUUGGCUAGCUGUGAUAUUUGGAAAAGUGUGACAAGAAUGUAACGCGGUUAAGCUAUUUCUGUCUGUGUGUGACCAGGGAAAGUGAGAGUCUGUAUGUUAUAAUCGAUGUGUGACACAAAUUAUAUGCCCUUCCUGCUCAUCAAUGGGAACAAGCUUUGACCCUGUUCACAUUACUGCAAAAUAACCACUGGGGAAUGUUCCGGAUCAGCGAAUGGUUUGUUACCAUCAGAACCAGAAAAUAUGUUCAAUGAACAGAAGUUCAGACUGCUCAACAUUGCGAUCCUAACAUAGCUCAUGUUUGUACAAUCACCUAGUCUCCUCUUCUAGUUAACAUAAAAAUCCCUAGAUUAAGGUUUUUCUGAUUCUUUUAACAGGUUGUUUUUUAACCUAUGCAUUAUUUUAACUUCUUAAACCCUUUGCACAGUCUUCCAUAGUGACACUUUAAGUUUCCCAAAUGGUGGAAACAAAUCACAGAUUUCUAUGGAAGAUUUACCUGAAGUGUACUGAAACUGGAGUUUCCUUUGAGAAAUUCAAUUUAAAAAGCCCAUUUUGGCUUCUAUUAUGGCCGCUAUAGCUUUAAUCACAAAUUGAGGAACUAUAUAUUAGCAUGGUUGUUUACUACAAUAGGAAAGAUUGAGUGGGGAUAGGAAGUCUUUCCUUUCCACAGUAGGUAGUGUAAAUACAUGGUUCUUGCUUUAAAUGACUUGCUAUCUAAUCAUAUUUGAAUAUGACGUAUUAAAUAUUUGAUGUACUUAAAUAUUUGUUUCAUAAAAUGACACUGCUAUUGGUCACUAGAUACUUCAGAUCACUGUGAAAAUAUAUCCCGGUUUGGCAUCUUUAGACGUCUACAUUACAGCACAAACCACUGUAUGUAUGCUUAUCCUACUUGAAGGUAACCAAUAAGACAAGCUACUUGAUGGUGCUUGGUUGCAUGUGAUGGUAGGACCAUGGAUAUUGACUUGAUAAAUUAAGAUGGCUGCCUAGAAUCAGGUUUUCCUUACCCGCUUAUACCCUCAAGGCCUGUUUCCUGGACAUAGAUUAAUCUUUGUCCUGGACUAGGAAACAUUUUCAAUGGAGAUUAUGUUUUUAGUUCAAGACUAGGCUUAAUAUGUGUCCGGGAAACCGUCAAUCUUUUCCUCAGGUACAUAGGAAGACAUUCCUUCUCUUAUUCCAGGGUCACAGUCCCAUCUCUAUGAAUCAGACUUCUCAUUGUUGUUGUUUAUGAUGCUAUUUAUUCAUUAAACUAUUUUUGCGUAUUUGUAAAACAUGUGUACAUGCAUUUUCUUUCUGUUCCAGAACAGAAGUGUCCAGUCCAGUUACUCUCAUUCCCACUCAUCUGCUGUAUGUGUUGGUGUCCGUCAUCUCUGCCUCCUAUAGGUUAAUUUCCAACCAACAUCAUCAGGAAAUGGUCUUCAUCCAAAACCACAAGAUGACCACACAUGACCAGAACUGUCCCACAUCUUUCCCGAAGUCUUUCUGAAUGCAUAGGUAGGUUUUAGGGUUAGCCAGGCAGGACUCGCUGUGAACAUGAUGUCCCCUCUGUCAGCAAGCAAUGACUUCAGCAGACAAACCACUCCUUGCUUCCUCUACUGUCACGACUCCACUCCCGUCUCCCAUUGGAUGAAAACCAUUGCCAUAAGAUGGAGUCAAUUUAGCCGAGCAGCUCACAGGAAGGACAGGAAGAGGAGAGGAGUUGUCUGGUUGUUGUUUUGACCUCCCUCAUUAUACCUUUCCUUUCACACACGUCUGUUCUGUUUAAAUUCAGUCAAUUCAUAAAGUCAUUUGUUUCUAAAGUCUUAGGAUAGCAUUCAUUAUUAGUGUUACAUAGAUUUCUGAAUUGACAGAAUUGAAACUCAUACACCGGAGAAUUCAGAUGCUCUUGUUGGUCUCUUACAAGACUAAAGGUCAAUAUAUUUCUUUCAUUUAAAACCACUUGAAAACCAGGGUGUUGAAACUGUUUGUGAAGUUAGAUUCCAUCGACUGGUCCAUGACGUCCAAGGGCCAUUUGUUUGUUUAGCUGUGUUAUGGCUACACAUUAUUUAUUUAUUUUCAGAGACAGAGACACACACACACCUCUCCUCCACUCCUCUCUGUACCUCAGAUCUCCAGUGUCCUGCCCUUUCUCUCUUUAUGGCCAUGUCUGCAGUUCCCCUACUACGUCUAGGCUUUAUGAGUAGUCCCUGUAUCUGUCUGAAGUUCCCCUACUACGUCUAGGCUUUAUGAGUAGUCCCUGUAUCUGUCUGCAGUUCCCCUACUACGUCUAGGCUUUAUGAGUAGUCCCUGUAUCUGUCUGCAGUUCCUCUACUACGUCUAGGCUUUAUGAGUAGUCCCUGUAUCUGUCUGCAGUUCCCCUACUACGUCUAGGCUUUAUGAGUAGUCCCUGUAUCUGUCUGCAGUUCCCCUACUAUGUCUAGGCUUUAUGAGUAGUCCCUGUAUCUGUCUGAAGUUCCCCUACUACGUCUAGGCUUUAUGAGUAGUCCCUGUAUCUGUCUGAAGUUCCCCUACUACGUCUAGGCUUUAUGAGUAGUCCCUGUAUCUCUCUGCAGUUCCCCUAUUACGUCUAGGCUUUAUGAGUAGUCCCUGUAUCUCUCUGCAGUUCCCCUACUACGUCUAGGCUUUAUCAGUAGUCCCUGUAUCUCUCUGCAGUUGUGCCAAAAAUACAUGCUCUUGUUGUUCUCUUCCAGAUUACACAUUCAUUUUUUAAAUUUUUUACACGCACACCUCUUUCAAUAGUUUUACGUUUUUAAACAUUUUUACAACACAAAUACCUGUCAUGUUCUUUCCUGUACUUGAU